AACGAACGCUGGCGGCAGGCUUAACACAUGCAAGUCGAGCGCGUAGCAAUACGAGCGGCAGACGGGUGAGUAACGCGUGGGAACGUACCCUUUUCUACGGAAUAACGCAGGGAAACUUGUGCUAAUACCGUAUACGCCCUUUUGGGGAAAGAUUUAUCGGGGAAGGAUCGGCCCGCGUUGGAUUAGCUAGUUGGUGGGGUAAAGGCCUACCAAGGCGACGAUCCAUAGCUGGUCUGAGAGGAUGAUCAGCCACAUUGGGACUGAGACACGGCCCAAACUCCUACGGGAGGCAGCAGUGGGGAAUAUUGGACAAUGGGCGCAAGCCUGAUCCAGCCAUGCCGCGUGAGUGAUGAAGGCCCUAGGGUUGUAAAGCUCUUUCACCGGAGAAGAUAAUGACGGUAUCCGGAGAAGAAGCCCCGGCUAACUUCGUG
Molecule: ribosomal RNA, 431 nt
Filed under: uncultured bacterium
Lineage: Bacteria
Description: bacterial SSU rRNA
Rfam family: Bacterial small subunit ribosomal RNA
Source: RNAcentral